Molecule: non-coding RNA, 349 nt
Organism: Paramuricea clavata
Lineage: Eukaryota; Metazoa; Cnidaria; Anthozoa; Malacalcyonacea; Plexauridae
Source: the annotation of a GenBank genome assembly
UUGCUAAUUAGCCGCUAUAGUACGUGGAAUUUGGAUUUCGCCGCUGCUAAUAAACUAUGACUUUAUUUAGUUCAUUUUGUUUUUACUAACUAUCAAAAUUAAUAGUGAAAACAGAAUUUUACGAAAAAGAAUUAGUAACAAAGCCAGUAAUGUCGGUAUUCGUGGACAAUGGUUGUAAUGAGCAACAUUCGAAUUGUUUCAAAAUGGUCGUCUAUCCUCUUGUUUUGAAUGUGCUGUUCUCUGUAGCUGGAUUUCUUUUGACGUUGAAAAUUAUUCCUGCUAUGAGAGAGAUGUUUAUCACAGCCGGAUUGAAAGGUAGAGAUUUGGGAAAGAAGGACAAACCAGAGAU